ACAAUGUUAGGUAAAGUGAUGGUGAAGUUAUGCAGUGGCGAUCGACUGGUCAGCUGAUUUUGGGAUCUGAAACUAGUUCUGACAUUAGGUAUAACAUUUCUACAUGCAGUGUUGAACUGUGUAAUUUUUUUUAGGUAUGAAGGACCACUGUCUUCUACUCCUAUGAAAAAACGGGCAGCACUGACAGAUCUCACUCUAACAAGCAUCGGGUCAAGUGAUUCUGAUAAAGACAAGCAUACCUCAGAAAAGGCCAGCAAGGGCUCGGCCGGUGUGGAAGAAUUGGCCAGGCUUGAGUGCAGCCUUGGGGAAAUGAGCAUUGGUGAGGAGGAACAUCUGGAUGAACAAGCCAUCAAUGACUUGAGGAAUAGCCCG
Non-coding RNA from Misgurnus anguillicaudatus (oriental weatherfish), 372 nucleotides. The record is from RefSeq and is a predicted model, not a curated record. Lineage: Eukaryota; Metazoa; Chordata; Actinopteri; Cypriniformes; Cobitidae.